UCGGGAAUUUUGGGCAAUGGGCGAAAGCCUGACCCAGCAACGCCGCGUGAAGGAUGAAGUAUUUCGGUAUGUAAACUUCGAAAGAAUAGGAAGAAUAAAUGACGGUACUAUUUAUAAGGUCCGGCUAACUACGUGCCAGCAGCCGCGGUAAUACGUAGGGACCAAGCGUUGUUCGGAUUUACUGGGCGUAAAGGGCGCGUAGGCGGCAAUUCAAGUCAUCUGUGAAAUCUCCGGGCUUAACUCGGAACGGUCAGAUGAUACUGCUUUGCUAGAGUGCAGAAGGGGCAAUCGGAAUUCUUGGUGUAGCGGUGAAAUGCGUAGAUAUCAAGAGGAACACCGAUGGCGAAGGCAGAUCUCUGGGCCGUAACUGACGCUGAGGAGCGAAAGCAUGGGGAGCGAACAGGAUUAGAUACCCACGUAGUCCCUGAGCGGGCUGGCAAGGCGCAU
RNAcentral lists this ribosomal RNA (447 nucleotides) under uncultured bacterium. RNAcentral's name for it is "bacterial SSU rRNA". It matches the Rfam family "Bacterial small subunit ribosomal RNA", at positions 355 to 825 of the family's 1533-position model. The record is from RNAcentral.